This 232-nucleotide ribosomal RNA is filed under the name uncultured bacterium. RNAcentral describes it as "partial 16S ribosomal RNA". It matches the Rfam family "Bacterial small subunit ribosomal RNA", at positions 15 to 235 of the family's 1533-position model. The record is from RNAcentral.
GAUCCUGGCUCAGGAUGAACGCUAGCUACAGGCUUAACACAUGCAAGUCGAGGGGCAGCAUGGUCUUAGCUUGCUAAGGCCGAUGGCGACCGGCGUACGGGUGAGUAACACGUAUCCAACCUGCCGUCUACUCUUGGACAGGCCUUCUGAAAGGAAGAUUAAUACAAGAUGGCAUCAUGAAGUUCGACAUGUUCACAUGAUUAAAGGUAUUCCGGUAGACGAUGGGGAUGCG